UGCUCGCCCGUCCUCGCUCCCCUCUUCUCCUUUCUUUUCUU
RNAcentral lists this non-coding RNA (41 nucleotides) under Sexangularia sp. CB-2014. The record is from RNAcentral. Lineage: Eukaryota; Tubulinea; Elardia; Arcellinida.